CAGGACGAACGCUGGCGGCGUGCCUAAUACAUGCAAGUCGAGCGGUUCCUUCGCGGAUAGCGGCGGGACGGGUGAGUAACACGUAGGCAACCUGCCUGCAAGACCGUGAUAACUAUCGGAAACGAUAGCUAAGACCGGAUACCUGGUUUUCUCGCAUGAGGGAAUCAUGAAACACGGGGCAACCUGUGGCUUGCAGAUGGGCCUGCGGCGCAUUAGCUAGUUGGUAGGGUAACGGCCUACCAAGGCGACGAUGCGUAGCCGUCCUGAGAGGGUGAUCGGCCACUCUGGGACUGAGACACGGCCCAGACUCCUACGGGAGGCAGCAGUAGGGAAUCUUCCGCAAUGGACGCAAGUCUAUCGGAGCAACGCCGCGUGAGUGAUGAAGGUUUUCGGAUCGUAAAGCUCUGUUGCCAGGGAAGAACGCCAUGGGGAGUAACUGCCCUAUGAUUGCCGGUACCUGAGAAGAAAGCCCCGCCUACUUCCGUGCCGCCAGCGCCGGUAUUACGUAGGGGGCAAGCGUUUUCCGGAAUUAUUGGGCGUAAAGCGCGCGCAGGCGGUCAUUUAAGUUUGGUGUUAAACCCCGGGGCUCACCCCCGGAUCGCACUGAAAACUGGAUGACUUGAGUGCGGGAGAGGAAAGUGGAAUUCCGCGUGUAGCGGUGAAAUGCGUAGAGAUGUGGAGGAACACCAGUGGCGAAGGCGACUCUCUGGACCGUAACUGACG
RNAcentral lists this ribosomal RNA (723 nucleotides) under Paenibacillus sp. IMCC10419. RNAcentral's name for it is "bacterial SSU rRNA". It matches the Rfam family "Bacterial small subunit ribosomal RNA", at positions 25 to 745 of the family's 1533-position model. Lineage: Bacteria; Bacillati; Bacillota; Bacilli; Caryophanales; Paenibacillaceae. The record is from RNAcentral.